This 551-nucleotide long non-coding RNA is filed under the name Mytilus galloprovincialis (Mediterranean mussel). Lineage: Eukaryota; Metazoa; Mollusca; Bivalvia; Mytilida; Mytilidae. The record is from RNAcentral.
UUUUGCUCUCCAUUUUUAUGCAAAACCUUUUACAUUUUUAUUUUAUGGGUUAUUGUUGAAGGUCGUACGAUGACGUAUGGUUGUUAACACAUACUUCCUUUGGUUUCUUAUGGAAAUUUGUCCAUUGACAACAAACAUACCACAUCAUCUACUUUAUAUAAGUAUUGUAUAAAUUACAACGUAUUUUGGUGAUCUUGCAAAAUGAUCGUAAUCCCGAAAAUCGUAAACAUAUUUUCUUAUCUUAAAAGGGGGCAAGAAGGGUUCCAUUAACAGGCCAAUAAAUAAGAUUACAGUUAGUUUUAAAAAAAAUUAAAAAAAUAGGGGUAUUUUUUCUCUCAUAAUAACAGUAAACACAUUCACAACAAUGUCAAUUUCAAGAAAGCAGACAACAGCUAAUAAGUCAAUAACAGUACAGCAUCAAUGAUCUUGAAUAUAUGCCACUUUUAACUAAAAUAUAAAAGCACAGAACCAGGACAUAGGAGCACAGAACCAGGACCGUUUUUCUUAUCACCAGCACAGCGUCAGGACAAUUCCGUUUAACGAACUUGCAC